RNAcentral lists this non-coding RNA (26 nucleotides) under Homo sapiens (human). The record is from RNAcentral. Lineage: Eukaryota; Metazoa; Chordata; Mammalia; Primates; Hominidae.
UGCCUAGAUCCCUGCGCAGGAAGACU